This 364-nucleotide RNase P RNA is filed under the name Bacteroidaceae bacterium. RNAcentral describes it as "RNase P RNA component class A". It matches the Rfam family "Bacterial RNase P class A". Rfam says of the family: Ribonuclease P (RNase P) is a ubiquitous endoribonuclease, found in archaea, bacteria and eukarya as well as chloroplasts and mitochondria. Its best characterised activity is the generation of mature 5'-ends of tRNAs by cleaving the 5'-leader elements of precursor-tRNAs. The record is from RNAcentral. Lineage: Bacteria; Pseudomonadati; Bacteroidota; Bacteroidia; Bacteroidales; Bacteroidaceae.
ACAGAUGGGCGGCUUGUCGCUGAUGCAUCGCAUGAGAGGAAAGUCCGGGCAGCACAGAGCACUCCACUUCCUAAUAUAGAAGUAGUUUGUGAAAGCUAAGAAGUGUAGAAGAAAAUAACCGCAAUCAUUGUUUUCAAUGGUUGUAAGGGUGAGAAGGCGGGGUAAGAGCCCACCAGAAGUAUGGUGACAUACUUGCUGUACACCUUGGAGGCUGCAAGUUCAUGUAUAGUAGCGCUUGAGGGUUGCUCGCCCGAGCUACAGGGUAGAACGCUAAAUAUGAAUUGGAUGGUGACAUUCAAUCUGGAUAAAUGACAGGCACCAUUGCAAAAUGGUACAGAACCCGGCUUAUAGUCCAUCUGUUUUU